UACGUAGGGGGCCAGCGUUGCUCGGAAUUACUGGGCGUAAAGGGUUCGUAGGCGGUGCGGCAAGUCGGAAGUGAAAUCUCCAGGCUCAACUUGGAGGCUGCUCCCGAAACUGCCGUGCUAGAGUGCGGGAUGGGCGAGUGGAAUUGCAGGUGUAGCGGUGAAAUGCGUAGAUAUCUGCAGGAACACCCGUGGCGAAGGCGGCUCGCUGGACCGCAACUGACGCUGAGGAACGAAAGCUAGGGGAGCAAACAGG
Molecule: ribosomal RNA, 253 nt
Filed under: uncultured bacterium
Lineage: Bacteria
Description: partial 16S ribosomal RNA
Rfam family: Bacterial small subunit ribosomal RNA
Source: RNAcentral